CGCUGGCGGCGUGCUUAACACAUGCAAGUGGUGCGACGAACCAGGGCUUGCCCUGGGGCCAAGCCGCGAACGGGUGAGUAACACGUGAGUAACCUGCCCCGAUGACCGGGACAACCCGAGGAAACUCGGGCUAAUACCGGAUGUGGCGCACAGGCGUAAGCCUGUUCGCUAAAGGAAGCUUCGGCCUCCGCAUUGGGAGGGGCUCGCGGCCCAUUAGCUUGUUGGUGGGGUUAUGGCCUACCAAGGCGACGAUGGGUAGCUGGUCUGAGAGGACGAUCAGCCACACUGGGACUGAGACACGGCCCAGACUCCUACGGGAGGCAGCAGUGGGGAAUCUUGCGCAAUGCGCGAAAGCGUGACGCAGCAACGCCGCGUGGGGGAAGACGGCCUUCGGGUUGUAAACCCCUUUCAGGAGGGACGAAGGUUCGGCGGUGAAUAGCCGUCCGGACUGACGGUACCUCCAGAAGAAGCCCCGGCUAACUACGUGCCAGCAGCCGCGGUAAUACGUA
This 509-nucleotide ribosomal RNA is filed under the name uncultured Actinomycetes bacterium. RNAcentral describes it as "bacterial SSU rRNA". It matches the Rfam family "Bacterial small subunit ribosomal RNA", at positions 34 to 529 of the family's 1533-position model. Lineage: Bacteria; Bacillati; Actinomycetota; Actinomycetes. The record is from RNAcentral.